GAUGAAGAACGUAGCGAAAUACGAUAAGUAAUGCGAAUUGCAGAAUUCAGUGAGUCAUCGAAUCUUUGAACGCACAUUGCGCCCUGUGGUAUUCCGCAGGGCAUGCCUGUUCGAGCGUCAUUUCAACCCUCAAGCUCUGCUUGGUGUUGGGCCCUGCCCGCUGCGGCCGGCCCUAAAGACAGUGGCGGUGCCGCCUGGCCCUGAGCGUAGUACAUCUCUCGCUCCAGUGCCCGGUGGUAGCCUGCCAGAACCCCAACUCUCGUGGUUGACCUCGGAUCAGGUAGGGAUACCCGCUGAACUUAAGCAUAUCAAUAAGCGGAGGA
RNAcentral lists this unclassified non-coding RNA (323 nucleotides) under soil metagenome. RNAcentral's name for it is "partial contains 5.8S ribosomal RNA, internal transcribed spacer 2, and large subunit ribosomal RNA". The stretch from base 1 to 120 matches the Rfam family "5.8S ribosomal RNA", at positions 35 to 154 of the family's 154-position model. The record is from RNAcentral.